ACACAUGCAAGUCGAGGGGAAACGACAUCGAAAGCUUGCUUUUGAUGGGCGUCGACCGGCGCACGGGUGAGUAACGCGUAUCCAACCUGCCCACCACUUGGGGAUAACCUUGCGAAAGUAAGACUAAUACCCAAUGACGUCUCUAGAAGACAUCUGAAAGAGAUUAAAGAUUUAUCGGUGAUGGAUGGGGAUGCGUCUGAUUAGCUUGUUGGCGGGGUAACGGCCCACCAAGGCAACGAUCAGUAGGGGUUCUGAGAGGAAGGUCCCCCACAUUGGAACUGAGACACGGUCCAAACUCCUACGGGAGGCAGCAGUGAGGAAUAUUGGUCAAUGGACGAGAGUCUGAACCAGCCAAGUAGCGUGCAGGAUGACGGCCCUAUGGGUUGUAAACUGCUUUUAUAAGGGAAUAAAGUGAGUCUCGUGAGACUUUUUGCAUGUACCUUAUGAAUAAGGACCGGCUAAUUCCGUGCCAGCAGCCGCGGUAAUACGGAAGGUCCGGGCGUUAUCCGGAUUUAUUGGGUUUAAAGGGAGCGUAGGCCGGAGAUUAAGCGUGUUGUGAAAUGUAGACGCUCAACGUCUGCACUGCAGCGCGAACUGGUUUCCUUGAGUACGCACAAGGUGGGCGGAAUUCGUGGUGUAGCGGUGAAAUGCUUAGAUAUCACGAAGAACUCCGAUUGCGAAGGCAGCUCACUGGAGCGCAACUGACGCUGAAGCUCGAAAGUGCGGGUAUCGAACAGGAUUAGAUACCCUGGUAGUCCGCACGGUAAACGAUGGAUGCCCGCUGUUGGUCUGAAUAGGUCAGCGGCCAAGCGAAAGCAUUAAGCAUCCCACCUGGGGAGUACGCCGGCA
Molecule: ribosomal RNA, 849 nt
Filed under: uncultured bacterium
Lineage: Bacteria
Description: bacterial SSU rRNA
Rfam family: Bacterial small subunit ribosomal RNA
Source: RNAcentral